UGCAGAUUCAGUUAAAACAUAAAGUACCUGGCGGACUAUUUCUGGAGGUUACAGUUUUGUUAUUAAAAAAAAAAUACACAAAUAAUGGGUCUGGAAGAGGAAGCAUAAUAAAUUUGAGGACUCAGAAGUGAUGCUAAAUUUGGACAUUUGAAGAAGGGGCACAGGAAAGCAAUUCAAAGGCACUUGAGUUAUCAACGUGCACAGAGGAAAUUAAGUAGGAGGCAUGUUGGAAAGGCACCCACUGAUAUCGACCUGGAUGGAAGCCCUUGAAGUCACAGUUCCUCCACAGCAUGGGCUUUGAACUCCUGCGCUUGGGUCUGGCUUCCACAAAGAUGAACUCAGAAUGGAAAAAUUAAAAAAAAAAAAAAAAAAAGUUGGAAGCCAUUGCCACUACAGUGCCAACCUGGCCAGCCACAAGACCAUAAUAUUUUUUAAACUCUGACGGCUAGAAAUGGACACAAAUUGCUCUCUUGUGGUUGCCAGCAGGUUUCUGAAUCAUCUUUGGGUUAGGGCUUCAGUAGACUUUUGAUUUUGCAAGGUCUAGUAAAGAACUUUUAUACACACAAGGUAGAGAAGACAAAGAGAGAGCCGGCACGGAGGUUCACGCCUGUAAUCCCAGCACUUUGAGAGACUGAGGUAGGAGGAUCGCUUGAGCCCAGGAGUUAGAGACCAGCCUGGGAAACAUAAGGAGACCUAGUCUCCACAAAAAAUUUAAAAAGAAAAAUUAGCUAGAUGUGGUGGUGAGUGCCUGUGGUCCUAGCUACUCGAGAUGAGGCGGGAGGAUUGCUUGAGCCUGGGAGGUCAAGGCUGCAGUGAGCUGAGAUGGUGCCACUGCACUCGCCUGGGUGACAGAGAGAGACCCUGUCUCAAAAAAAAAAAAAAAAAAAGAAAGAAAGGAAAGAAAAGAAAAGAGAAAGAGAAAGAGAGAAGAGAGAAGAGAGAAGCAGGAUGGAGCAAAGGGAUACAAAUGAAGGAAGAAGGGCAUAGGUUCACGUGGAAGGAGAAGGAAAACAAUAACCUGGAGAAAAGGAAGAAAAGGUACAGAUGGAGAAAAAUAGGCUGAGAAAACAAUGUCUGUGGCCAGUCCUUGGGGAGCCGGAUGAACCUGCAGUUGACACCCAAAGACGGCUGCCCGGGGUCAACGGAACAGUCCAGGCUCGGGGCACGUGCAGAGGGGUGGUUUCUGGCUUCUCAUCAUACCAACAGGGAGCAGUGUUGGAACGUUGCCAGGAGAGUGGUGAGCGGCUGCCCUGGGCACUGGAGGGGCGGCGUGGGUUUAAAGGCCAACACCAUGGCUGUCCAGUGGAACGCUGUCGGCAGCAUCCUUAACUGCCCCUGCCUCUGAUGCCUCAUCUGUACUGCAGGGACGGACUACACCUUCCUUUUUGUAUCCUGGGAGGAAUUAAAUGAGAUGAUACAUUCAGAGUGUUUAGCACAGUGCCUGACACAUAAGAAGCCCU
This 1460-nucleotide long non-coding RNA is filed under the name Pan troglodytes (chimpanzee). Its description in RNAcentral is "long non-coding RNA NONPTRT001699". The record is from RNAcentral. Lineage: Eukaryota; Metazoa; Chordata; Mammalia; Primates; Hominidae.